Molecule: ribosomal RNA, 200 nt
Filed under: uncultured bacterium
Lineage: Bacteria
Description: partial 16S ribosomal RNA
Rfam family: Bacterial small subunit ribosomal RNA
Source: RNAcentral
CGUAAAGCGCACGCAGGCGGUCUGUUAAGCUAGAUGUGAAAGCCCCGCGCUCAACGUGGGAGGGUCAUUUAGAACUGGCAGACUAGAGUCUUGGAGAGGGGAGUGGAAUUCCAGGUGUAGCGGUGAAAUGCGUAGAGAUCUGGAGGAACAUCAAUGGCGAAGGCAACUCCCUGGCCAAAGACUGACGCUCAUGUGCGAAA